Molecule: ribosomal RNA, 228 nt
Filed under: uncultured Planctomycetota bacterium
Lineage: Bacteria; Pseudomonadati; Planctomycetota
Description: uncultured planctomycete partial 16S ribosomal RNA
Rfam family: Bacterial small subunit ribosomal RNA
Source: RNAcentral
AGCACGUAGGUGGGUUUGUAAGUCAGACGUGAAAGCCUUCUGUUCAACGGAAGAAUUGCAUCUGAAACUACAAACCUUGAGUGUAGGAGGGGAGAGUGGAACUUCUGGUGGAGCGGUGAAAUGCGUAGAUAUCAGAAGGAACGUCGGCGGCGAAAGCGACUCUCUGGCCUAUUACUGACACUGAGUGUGCGAAAGUUAGGGGAGCAAACGGGAUUAGAUACCCCGGUA